CAUGAGGGUAGUGUUAUUAUAAGAAUCAGGACUACCAUAACACUUGUCGGAUUGAUUUGAAAUUUUGUAUGCUGGUUCGAUAUAGAAUAAACUUAAUGCAUGCUAAUUUUUUUGGCAUUUAAUUGAAGAUUAAGGGUCUAAUAGGCUCAAGACCACAAUUAAUGACCCUACUUUUCGUUGUUCACGAAUAUAGUUCCCUUUAAUUAAGGUGUAUUCUUUCUUUGUUUUUUUUCUUUGCCUUUCUCAUUGAUUAUUUAGUUUUUAUGGGUUGGAAAUGAAAGAAGAUAGGUGAAAUAAACUUUUGGAUGUUGUAUUUUAACUUAUUUUGAU
This 330-nucleotide long non-coding RNA is filed under the name Mytilus galloprovincialis (Mediterranean mussel). The record is from RNAcentral. Lineage: Eukaryota; Metazoa; Mollusca; Bivalvia; Mytilida; Mytilidae.